This 578-nucleotide ribosomal RNA is filed under the name uncultured marine eukaryote. Its description in RNAcentral is "SSU rRNA". It matches the Rfam family "Eukaryotic small subunit ribosomal RNA", at positions 618 to 1201 of the family's 1831-position model. The record is from RNAcentral.
GUUAAAACGCUCGUAGUCGGAUUUCGGGGCGGGACGACCGGUCUGCCGAUGGGUAUGCACUGGUCGGCGCGUCCUUCCUUCCGGAGACCGUGCCUACUCUUAACUGAGCGGGGACGGGAGACGGAUCGUUUACUUUGAAAAAAUCAGAGUGUUUCAAGCAGGCAACUCGCUUUGCAUGGAUUAGCAUGGGAUAAUGAAAUAGGACUUUGGUGCUAUUUUGUUGGUUUCGAACACCGAAGUAAUGAUUAAUAGGGACAGUCAGGGGCACUCGUAUUCCGCCGAGAGAGGUGAAAUUCUCAGACCAGCGGAAGACGAACCACUGCGAAAGCAUUUGCCAGGGAUGUUUUCACUGAUCAAGAACGAAAGUUAGGGGAUCGAAGACGAUCAGAUACCGUCGUAGUCUUAACCAUAAACCAUGCCGACUAGGGAUCGGAGGAUGUUCACUAAUUGACUCCUUCGGCACCUUACGGGAAACUAAAGUCUUUGGGUUCCGGGGGGAGUAUGGUCGCAAGGCUGAAACUUAAAGGAAUUGACGGAAGGGCACCACCAGGCGUGGAGCCUGCGGCUUAAUUUGACUC